Beta vulgaris subsp. vulgaris (sugar beet) is the source of this 3912-nucleotide long non-coding RNA. RefSeq lists it as uncharacterized. The transcript is spliced from 3 exons. The record is from RefSeq and is a predicted model, not a curated record. NCBI's taxonomy places the organism in Eukaryota, Viridiplantae, Streptophyta, Magnoliopsida, Caryophyllales, Amaranthaceae.
UCUUUUCCUCUUUGUGUCAUUUUGUGAUGCAGCCAAACAAGGUCAUAUUUUUUAGGUGUCAAUUCUUCAUAAAUAAACUAGGUUCUAUCAAUCUAGAAAAAAAAAAUACUUGUUGAUAUAAUCUCCUUCUAGAAAUCUAGAGAAUUAAACCCCACUCCUCUAUUUUAUCUACCUCCUUCUAAUUCAAUCUAUCUCCUCUAAUUUUCUUGGUCCUAAAGUUGCUGCCGAAUUAUUUGCUCAAAAUCGACAGCAUGCAGUUGGUUUUUGGAAAUAUAUGCUAAAUAAAAGUUGUAGAUCUCUUCAAGAUAUUCAAUUUAGGCUAAAAAACCACUCAAUUCCGACUUGUGUACUAUGAGUUAUGCGUGUUGCAAGUUUGGUGUUACUACCUUCAUUUCUCUCUCCUCUGUUUUCGUCAAUCUCUUUCUGCGAAUUUCUCCAACAUGCAAUCCUAAUUUGCUCCUUGUUUCUACAUUAAAGUUGUAGAUCUCUUUGAGUUAUUGAAUUUAGCCACAAAAAUCGUCCAAUUUGGAGUUCAGAGCUGUGAGUUAUGGCCUUUGCAAGUUUGGUCUUGCUGCUGUCAUUUUCCUUCGAGAUUUUGUGAUUUUUGCUGCAGUUUCGUGGUUGUUGCUGCUGUUAUUGUGUUGAUGUUAGUGCUCCUACUUCAUUUAUUCUACUCUUUAGUGUAUUAAUGAACGUAUAAAGUUAAAAUCUUACUUCAUAUUUCUUCAAAAUGUUAAGAACAAAUUCAAAUGUAUUAUUGUUGGAUUGAAUUAGCAAAAUCAGCUCUAAACCUUUGUUUUCUUGGUUUUGAUGGCAAAAAUCAACAUGUGGUUGUAUGUUAGAGCUAAAGAUUGAAUCUUUCUUUUUUUUAAUCCAUGGAUUGAAGUUGUUUUGGAAUUUGUAAAUCCUAGUUUAUAAUCAUCUUCAUUUUCCUAUAUUAACUUUAGUAAAUCAGAUUUUAUACAUUAUAUUUCUAUGAAAUUCUAGACCAUGAUUUCGUAUUGCCGAUUAGUGUCAAAAUUUUCAGAGAUUCCGUUAAUGAAAUUGGGUUUAUAAGAUUCUUGUUGAUUAGUGAAAAAUGUGAGCAGAGUAGUGAGAUAGUUUGUGCAUAAGGGUUGUAUUAGUUCAUAAAGUAGUUUAGAAAGUAUGGCAAGUCAAUUUGUUUAUGAGAAUUGAGUAAUAAGAACGAAUGUUAAUUAUUGUUAUUAUUGUUGUGAGGUGAUUAUUGGAUAUUGAUCAUGAAUUUGGAGAUGUUGGACUCUUGAAGAUUUUUAUGGAAUUGAGCGUUAUUUGGAGAAUGAAAGAGCGUUCCAUGCUAAUAAAUUUUUCAGGGAAUGUGGAAUCCAACUCCGGUGUGGUUUAAGGAUCAUGGUAUAAUAAAGGAUGCUUUUCGGAUGAGAUAUGGUUGAGAUUAUAUGGUUUUAUAGGAAAGAAAUGUCAUGGUGUUUUAAUGUAUUAUAUCGGAGAUUUGAUUGAUCAAUUCAUGUAAUUGUAUUUCUAUUUUGUGAUAUUGUUGUGGGCCAUAACCCACAGGUCCAGGAUCUUUUUAUAGAUUAUAUUUCCGCUGCGAGUGAAUGUAAGCUCGAGGUUAUUAAGUGUUAAUUGAGAUUUAUAAAUGUUAAGUGUAAUUAGCUAGCAGCUCGGAAGUUCGGGCUGUUACAGAUGGUAUCAGAGCAUGGUUGUUUUAGAAUUGUCGUGAUCUUCAUAUCAUGGCAUAUGAGUUUAAGAAAGAUAUUGGAGAUUGGGUGAAAAUGAUUUGGGUUAUUAGUUAGUUGAAAAUUAAGAAAUUGGAAUUAAGAAAUUGAAGGUUGAGUGUUGUAAAAUUUGAAAAAAAAAUGAAAAGUUCUAUCGGGGUUUUAGAUUUGAGUGACUAUUGGAGGAAGAACGAAUUAUAUCGAUUGAGAUUGUGUAAAGUUUGUAGUUGGAGUUUGUGAUUAUUGGGUUUGAAAACAAUUAAUUUUUGAGAUGUUAGAAUUUGGAUAUGAGUUCGUUUUGGUUUGAUAUUUUGUGGAAAUAUUUUCAGAAUUGUACUCGUUUUGGAAAGAUCUAAACUUUUACGUUUUCAAAUUUCGAGGACAAAAUUUCUUUUAAGGGUGGUAGAUUAUAAUAGCCCAUAUUUUGAUCAUGUUUUAGUUAACGUUAAUUAUGUUUAUUAGUUAUUAAGUUUUAAUAUUAAUGGGAAUCUACUUGAUAAUUAUUAUUUUAAAUUCUAUUAUCUCAUUGUGGGUUUUAGGAAAAUGAGGGUAUUUGAGUUUAGUUUUUUGAAAAGAAAAUAAAUUAUUAUAUUUUAAUGAGAUCUUCAUUCUCUCUAUUCAUGGCUGUUCAAGAGAAGCUUUUUACUUCUUUUCCUCUUUGUGUCAUUUUGUGAUGCAGCCAAUCAAGGUCAUAUUUUUUAUGUGCCACUUCUUCAUAAAUCAACUAGGUUCUAUCAAUCUAGAAAAAAAAUACUUGUUGAUAUAAUCUCCUUUUCUAGAAAUCUAGAGAAUUAAACCCCACUCCUCUAUUUUAUCCACCUCCUUCUAAUUCAAUCUCUCUCCUCUAAUUUUCUUGGUCCUAAAGUUGCUGCCGAAUUAUUUGCUCAAAAUCGACAGCAUGCAGUUGGUUUUUGGAAAUAUAUGCUAAAUGAAAGUUGUAGAUCUCUUCAAGAUAUUCAAUUUAGGCUCAAAAAUCACUCCAUUCCGACUUGUGUACUAUGAGUUAUGCCUGUUGCAAGUUUGGUAUUGCUACCUUCAUUUCUCUCUCUUCUGUUUUCGUCAAUCUGUUUCUGCGAAUUUCUCCAACAUGCAAUCCAAAUUUGCUCCUUGUUUCUGCAUAAAAAUUAUAGAUCUCUUUGAGUUAUUGAAUUUAGCCACAAAAAUCGUCCAAUUUGGAGUUCGGAGCUGUGAGUUAUGGCCUUUGCAAGUUUGGUCUUGCUGCUGUCAUUUUCCUUCGAGAUUUUGCGAUUUUUGCUGCAGUUUUGUGGUUGUUGCUGCUGUUAUUGUGUUGAUGUUGGUGCUCCUACUUCAUUUCUUCUACUCUUUAGUGUAUUAAUGAAGGUAUAAAGUUAAAAUCUUACUUCAUUUUUAUUCAAAAUAUUAAGAACAAAUUCAAAUGUAUUAUUGUUGGAUUGAAUUAGCAAAUUCAGCUCUAAACCAUGGUUUUUUUGGUUUUGAUGGCAAAAAUCAACAUGUGGUUGUAUAUUAGAGCUAAAGAUUGAAUCUUUCUUUUUUUUAAUCCAUGGAUUGAAGUUAUUUUCGAAUUUGUAAAUCCUAGUUUAUAAUCAUCUUCAUUUUCCUAUAUUAACUUUAGUAAAUCAGAUUUUAUACAUUAUAUUUCUAUGAAAUUCUAAACCAUGAUUUCGUAUUGCCGAUUAGUGUCAAAAUUUUCAGAGAUUCCGUUAAUUAAAUUGGGUUUAUAAGAUUCUUGUUGAUUAGUGAAAAAUGUGAGUAGACUAGUGAGAUGGUUUGUGCAUAAGGGUUGUAUUAGUUCAUAAAGGAGUUUAGAAAGUAUGGCAAGUCAAUUUGUUUAUGAGAAUUGAGUAAUAAGAACGAAUGUUAAUUAUUUUUAUUAUUGUUGUGAGGUGAUUAUUGGAGAUUGAUCAUGAAUUUGGAGAUGUUGGACACUUGUAGAUUUUUAUGGAAUUGAGCGUUAUUUGGAGAAUGAAAGAGCGUUCAAUUCAAAUAAAUUUUUCAGGGAAUGUGGAAUUCAGCUCCGGUGUGGUUUAAGGAUCAUGGUAUAAUAAAAGAUGCUUUUCGGAUGAGCUAUGGUGGAGAUUAUAUGGUUUUAUAGGAAAGAAAUGUCAUGGUGUUUUAAUGUAUUAUAUCGGAGAUUUGAUUGAUCAAUUCAUGUAAUUGUUUUUCUAUUUUGUGAUAUUGUUGUGGGCCCAUAACCCACAGGUUCAGGAUCGUUUUAUAGAUUAUAUUUCCGUUGCGA